GCCCGCAUAGCUCAGCUGGAUAGAGCAACCGCCUUCUAAGCGGUAGGUCGUUGGUUCGAAUCCAACUGCGGGUG
RNAcentral lists this transfer RNA (74 nucleotides) under Heliobacteriaceae bacterium. Its description in RNAcentral is "tRNA-Arg". It matches the Rfam family "tRNA". Rfam says of the family: Transfer RNA (tRNA) molecules are approximately 80 nucleotides in length. Their secondary structure includes four short double-helical elements and three loops (D, anti-codon, and T loops). Further hydrogen bonds mediate the characteristic L-shaped molecular structure. tRNAs have two regions of fundamental functional importance: the anti-codon, which is responsible for specific mRNA codon recognition, and the 3' end, to which the tRNAs corresponding amino acid is attached (by aminoacyl-tRNA synthetases). tRNAs cope with the degeneracy of the genetic code in two manners: having more than one tRNA (with a specific anti-codon) for a particular amino acid; and 'wobble' base-pairing, i.e. permitting non-standard base-pairing at the 3rd anti-codon position. Lineage: Bacteria; Bacillati; Bacillota; Clostridia; Eubacteriales; Heliobacteriaceae. The record is from RNAcentral.